This is a non-coding RNA of Phrynosoma platyrhinos (Desert horned lizard), 71 nucleotides long. Lineage: Eukaryota; Metazoa; Chordata; Lepidosauria; Squamata; Phrynosomatidae. The record is from the annotation of a GenBank genome assembly.
GCCAGCGUGGCACAGUGCUUUGUGUGUUGAACUAGGACUCUGGAGACCUGGGUUCGAUUCCUAGCUUGGCC